Molecule: non-coding RNA, 24 nt
Filed under: Arabidopsis thaliana (thale cress)
Lineage: Eukaryota; Viridiplantae; Streptophyta; Magnoliopsida; Brassicales; Brassicaceae
Source: RNAcentral
ACAUAAUGAAUCAAUUUUAUGAUG